GGUAAAAUUGCUAGGAAAUUUGUAAGCUUAACUUUAUAAAAAGCUGCAAAACUAUUUUCCAGAGUGGGUGCAUUAGUUUAAAAUUUUCACCAGCAAU
Molecule: microRNA precursor, 97 nt
Filed under: Marmota monax (woodchuck)
Lineage: Eukaryota; Metazoa; Chordata; Mammalia; Rodentia; Sciuridae
Source: RNAcentral